UACACAGAAAAGAACAAAAUAAAAAAAUAAAAAAAUAAAAAAAAAUGCCUGAAAUUACAUGAGCCUUGUGCUUGACGUUUUUCUAGGUUUUUUUUUCUCUUUUUUCUUUCUUUCUUUUUUUCUUCUCCAAGAAAGCGGGCGGAAGGGCUUUAUUCGACCCGUCUUGUAACACGGACCAAGGAGUCCAGCAUGCACGCAAGUGCCUGGGCUGUAAACCCACGCGCGUAGUGAAAGUAAAGGCAUUUUUCUUUUAAUUUUUUUCUUUUAAAAAAAAAAAAAUUAAAAAAAAACUAAAAAAAA
This 300-nucleotide ribozyme is filed under the name Rhodomonas abbreviata. RNAcentral describes it as "partial Plasmodium RNase_P". It matches the Rfam family "Eukaryotic large subunit ribosomal RNA", at positions 503 to 784 of the family's 3401-position model. Lineage: Eukaryota; Cryptophyceae; Pyrenomonadales; Pyrenomonadaceae. The record is from RNAcentral.